This 502-nucleotide ribosomal RNA is filed under the name uncultured archaeon. Its description in RNAcentral is "bacterial SSU rRNA". It matches the Rfam family "Archaeal small subunit ribosomal RNA", at positions 345 to 848 of the family's 1478-position model. The record is from RNAcentral.
AAACUUUGCAAUGUGCGAAAGCACGACAAGGUUAAUCCGAGUGGUUUCUGCUAAAGGAACCUUUUGACAGUCCUAGAAACACUGUUGAAUAAGGGGUGGGCAAGUUCUGGUGUCAGCCGCCGCGGUAAAACCAGCACCUCAAGUGGUCAGGAUGAUUAUUGGGCCUAAAGCAUCCGUAGCCGGCUCAGUAAGUUUUCGGUUAAAUCUGUACGCUUAACGUACAGGCUGCCGGGAAUACUGCAGAGCUAGGGAGUGGGAGAGGUAGACGGUACUCGGGAGGAAGUGGUAAAAUGCUUUGAUCUUUCGAUGACCACCUGUGGCGAAGGCGGUCUACCAGAACACGUCCGACGGUGAGGGAUGAAAGCUGGGGGAGCAAACCGGAUUAGAUACCCGGGUAGUCCCAGCUGUAAACUAUGCAAACUCAGUGAUGCAUUGGCUUGUGGCCAAUGCAGUGUUGCAGGGAAGCCGUUAAGUUUGCCGCCUGGAAGUACGUACGNCAAGU